This 3098-nucleotide ribosomal RNA is filed under the name Triticum aestivum (bread wheat). Its description in RNAcentral is "partial small subunit ribosomal RNA". The record is from RNAcentral. Lineage: Eukaryota; Viridiplantae; Streptophyta; Magnoliopsida; Poales; Poaceae.
CUCGUCUGCAUUUGCAGUUGGAGAGAGAAGAUGGACUGCAGCUACCCGAUGCAUCGUGCGUGCCUCACCUCCAUCUGCACUUAGACAGAGAGAUGGACUGGCGCCUAUGACGCCCUGGUCGACUACGCGGUCGCCGCCGUCCGCGAGCCCGGGUGCACGGUGGCUCUCACAGACUUCCACCACUGCGUCGACGCUUCAGCGAGUCCUGCGACCGAGCCGACGGCCUCGUCCAGGUGGCCGCCGCCGGCCUCGGCCCCGCCGCCUCCCGCCACAACGAGAUGUUCCGCGCGCUCAUGGACCUCCACCGCUGCCUCGACGCCUUCAGCGAUUCCCGCGACUGAGCCAAGGGCCUCGUCCAGGCGGCCGCCACGGCCGCGCCGCCUCCCGUCACGACAAGCUGUUCCGUGCCGUGCGCGUGGUCGACAAAGAUCUCCGGGCCGCCGCUGCCGGCUGGGAGAAGAAUCGCCCUCCGACCACGCCACUGGCAGCCGAGGACAAAUAGCCCAAUCAAUCUACCCCGUCUCCUAUUCAGGUGAUGUUUAUCAUUCUUGUUUUUUCCAUGUGAUGUUCAUCGUUCCUCUUAUUUUCUCGGUUGAUGUGCUAAUCAUGUUAGUCAAAGAUGAAUGAAACUGUGACGGGAAAGGAGAGAUGGACCGGGAUAUUUUUCCUCGGCAUGUCGCAUGGUGGCCGAGAUGCGGCAGCCCCAUGCUCUGUUCUGAUGGGCCUCCUCUGCUCGAUGGUUGCCGCUGGUUGAGUUUGGUACAGUUUCCUGUUGUCGCUUGCGUCGAGCCCUAGGUCCGUCUCUCCUUCUCAUUGAGCCUACUUCUCCUGUCGCUGGCGCUUCUUCUUCUCGUCCGUCCCGCUGCUUAACCAACGUUGUACGAUCUCUUCUGUCGCUGCGUCGUUCGACUCAUCAAGGUUUUCUUCUUUCCUUUCUACUACAUGUGUGUGUUAUACUUUCAGUAUCUUCUGUGUCAUGUCUGCCUUGGUGAUCUUUUAAAUAUAUGUAUGUCGUGCUGAUCGUUUAAAUAUUCCGGAUAUGGUCGGGCGUUGUGUGUUGUUCUUUCUCGUGCUGCUUAUAUUUCGUGUAUGCGUGUGAGCAGGAUGUGUAUGCCUGUUUCCGUUGUUAUACCAGUUUUGGAGGCCGUGGUAACUCGAUACCACUCACGCUCACUCUUUCUGUUGUACACAAGCAUAUUUGUCCAAUUCUCAGACUAAGUUUCUGAAAGAAACCGCAGUUCAUUACAACGCCAAUUAUGGAUAUGGAUCCAUCUUGCUACGCUGGAUGAAGGACUGGAUGUAAUAAGAAUUGCAUGUGACAAAUAGGUGCCUCCUCUAUGCAUAACUUUUGGCUAAUAUCAUUGAAUUUCUCCUGAGAUCUCUCUAGACCUUUCCAAAUGUAUUUUAGUUAGGUGUUUGUAUUAACUAGCAGAAGAAGGGAUGCAAAUGGAAAGAAUUUGAGAUGCAUAAACAUAAAAGCACUAAAAGAUUUGCUUGAAGCAAAGAUGUCUAGCCGGCAUACAUAUGGCAAGAACCUUCAGAGAUUGAUUUCUUUUCACCUGCUAUUCAGAUAUAUACUUGCUCAUAGGUCACAACUCAUGAAGUUACUUCUUUUGGUUUUGAUUUUGAAAUAUAUGUGUCAUAGGUCACGACUGAUGAAGUUACUUCCUUUUGGUGAAGGUCUGAAUAUCAUCAGUAUCUUGGCUGAGAGGCUGACAUUUCGGAAGGUUCUCAUCUGUGUAGGUUAGUUGAUAGGAUGACAAUUUAAGUUUAUUGAAGCUCUUCUUUAGGAGGCGGGGUUCUGCUUUGGUUUCUUGCUAUUUGCAGUUUGAUGCUUGUGGUAUCCCAUAUGAAAUUCUACAAUUUGUUUUAGCUUUUGUAGUUUUCUAUUCAUUAUCCCUACCCAUUGUGAUGUGUAUGUUUAUAUGCUUCAUGGACAGCGGGAUUUAAUAUCACUUGCUUCUCAGUCUUCUCCACCCUCGACAUGCGUAGGCCAAAAAGGCGGAGACGAGUCAUGAUCCUCCAGGCUAUGGCUGCUGGUUGCAGACAGGGUUUAAGCACAGGAAUCGCAAAAGUUGUGCCCCAUGAGGCCAGUGACCCCCAUGUGGCCAGCAACUAAAGGCUAGAUUCAUUCUCGUUGAAUGUAACCUGCCUGACAGUAAAUUAGUGUCACAUUGGUAGUUGUCGAUCUUUUAAAAUUUGAUUAACUAAUUUGGGCUCUAACAGAUUCUGUAGUUGUCUGUUGUUUCUUAUUUGCAGGUUAUCUUUAGCUUGGACGAAAAUGAAUGGACGAGCUUCAGUAUGACGAGGAGAGAGCAAUCUUGUUCAGUUUUAAUCGGGACAGAUGAAGGACAACCAUGUAAAAGUGGAGCAGUCAUAGGCCUGUUAUAGAGAUCUUGGUGAAGAACUCGUCACUGCAAUUUUGUCAAAUGGGUGUUGAGAUUGAAGUUUAUGCUUUUGUUGACUUUCUGAUAAAUUACAGCAACAUCGACAAGGUUAUGUGGGAGCCUUUCAUAGAGCCCUCAUAUAUUCAGUUAAAUAUACUUUGAAAUGUGCUGAUCAUGCACUGGAUGUAUCUCCCAGUACUCUGUGUUGCUAAAUUCAAGCAAGCAGCUUAAUGUUUCCAUAUCAGAGCCCUUGAUCGAGUGUGUGAUAAUUCGAGCCUCCAUGGAAGCAUCAACCGGAUCUGGCUGGCCCACAUACGCACGCCUCCUCUUUGCCCGGUGGCUCAUGGAAGCGGUGGCGUACGAUGAUGGCUUCCAUAUGGAGUAGAUGAAUCAUCAUAGAUAGUUCUUAUGUUACAUGUACAAAGGAGAGCAUUGUUUCACGAAAGCAUGGAUUACACCCACGCCAGUGACCAGUGAAGAAAGGGCUCAUGAACAAGAUAAAAAACUUUCAACCAUCUUUUGUUUACAAGGAAAGACGCUUUUUGUUAAAUUAGUCUUGUCGACUUCCGUAUGUAUUAUCGUAUUCUACCUCUUCUAUUAUAUCCAAAUUACUAUAUGAUGUAAUUGACCACUCUUAUUAAGAACUGGGCACAGUGAUUUAUGCUAUCAUUAUCUUAAGUAAGCAUUAUUGUGUCACUUGAGUGUAUUGGA